Homo sapiens (human) is the source of this 619-nucleotide RNA transcript. It is a transcript of the gene named caspase 4 like, pseudogene, with no coding region annotated. The transcript is spliced from 5 exons. Lineage: Eukaryota; Metazoa; Chordata; Mammalia; Primates; Hominidae. The record is from RefSeq and is marked validated.
AUUUUUCAGUCUGAGCCUUUUUUCAGUGCUGUAAGAAAGGACGGAGGCUGUUAUCUAUGGCAGAUCUAUCCAAUAAAGGAGAGAAAGGACCGCAUACGCCUGGUUCUCAUCAUAUGCAAUAAAGAGUUUGACCAUCUGCCUCCAAGAAAUGGGGCUGACUUUGCCAUCAUGGAGAUGAAGAAGCUGCUUGAGGAUCUGGGUUACAGUGUGGAUGUAGAAGAGAAUCUGACAGCCAGGAUAACGUGUCCAGGAGAGACAGCACAAGGGGCUCCAUCUUCAUCACACAACUCAUCGCAUGCUUCCAGAGAUAUUCCUGGCGCUGCCACCUAGAGGAAGUAUUUUGGAAGGUUCAGCAAGCAUUUGAAAGUCCGGAGGCAACAGUCCAAAUGCCCACCAUAGAACGAGUGUCCAUGACAAGAUAUUUCUACCUCUUUCCUGGCAAUUGAAAAUGGUUAAGCAUUGAGAGUUGUUGGUGGUGUAUGAAAUAAAUGAAAGUGUGAUAUUGGAGCAGGAAACCACAAGCAGCCCAGCCCUCCUUUAUCAACUUCAAGAAACACCUUUACUAGUACAGAUUGAAUGCUUAACAUUUUGUAUUUCAAUAAAGGUGAAGACAAAUGAA